GGAGCUCACCCUGUCACGGGGAUUCGAACUGCCAACCUUCUGAUCAGCAGGCCCAAGAGGCUCAGUAGUUUAGACCAGAACGCCACCUCCAUCCCUGUUCUUUAUGUGCCCCCUGCCCAGCUGGUGACCCCACUGGCUUGGCACCUCCCUGUCUCUCUCUUGCAAGAAAGGGCAUCUGGCCCCACAAGACCUCGCCCACUGCACUUCCUGAGCCCCACAGGCAGGGCUCUCCCUCUUCUCCCUCAUCUGCUGCAGUCCUGAGGCAUUUAUUAUGGGAGCGUCUCCUUAGCAGUUGCAGACUUCUGUAGCCUGGAAAGAAUGCCAGGUAUGGCAUGGCGCUGCAAACACAGGCGGCAGGAGCAGCCAGGGCCAAAUCUGGCCUCCUCCCAGAGGGGGAGGGGAGCCCCUCUGUUUGUUGGGCACCUCAGUCCUGGCUCUUCUGUAGGGGUGCUGCCAGUGCACCCCUACAGCCUGGCCAACUGCAGCUGGCAAAGGCUCCUCUCACCUGAAAGGAAGGAAAGACAUGGGGUAUUUUCUAGGCUUCCAAGGGGAACCAAACUGAGGGGCUCUGGGCUCUUGGCCACCCACUCCCAUCACCACUUUGGAUGCAGAAGGAACAGAGAUUACCAUGGAUGGCAGUUCAUGCCUCUCCCACUGGGAAGUGCAGCCUCUUCUUACAAGCCAGGGAAGCCGCCCCAGUCUCUGCUGAGCCAUGCACAGGCUUCCUGGGGUCUUGGCCCCCAACCAGGGUCUGUGUCUCUUCCUGCCUCUCGCCUCCCCAGCAGCCCACAGAGUCCUUCCCAGCACACUUUUAGAUUUCAAAAAGGACAGAUUUUCCUGUGACAUCACAUCCCCACCCCCUUGGCAGCCUGCCAAUUCUCCUGUCUGUCCACUCCUGGGGGGCACAGUUCUUUUGCAUUGCCAAGGCCCCAAAUGACUCCAUGCUGGUCCCCCAUUGUUGCUCAGUGGCUCUGCAAGGAGAACCCAUGGAUUCUGGCGCAGUUCUGCAGCUUGUCUUUUCCCUUCUUAUCCCACAUAUUAUCUAAAUACUUCCGUUUAUUAGUUUCUAAUAUUCACUAACAGACUCUGGUCCCCCAGCCAUAACACUAUAUAUUUUACAGUACUUUCAUGUUGUGAGUCACCUCAAAUAAAUUAAAGUCUUCUUCUUCAUUGCAGCUGCUGAGGCCACUGAGGCUGAGGGGUUGUUGUGUCUUUCGCAGAGCCCUUCCUGGGUCUCCUUGGCUGCUGCACUCAAUCCUCCCUGCGAGGAAGCCCCUUGUCUCCGUCAGACUGAGCCCCAGCCUGGCCCUCCCUUUGCCAUAUAGGCUUUGAGCAAGCAAGAAGGAAGGUGUCCUUUCUCAUGCUUCUCUCUGACCUCCGUAGAUGCUGUCAUCCAGCCCUCCCAGGUUUGGGGCCUGGGUGUGAACCUCAGGCUGCUUGGGCAGUUGCACCCUCCCUCCCUCCUCUGCCAAGACUGUUGCUCUAUCGCCCCCUCCCUAACAUCCUAACAUCCCCCCUCCAGGAUCAAGGACAGACCAGCCUGCCUGUGCCCAGAAACAGCCAGUAUAUUUGUAGGCGGCCACUGAGCUGCCAGCAGCUUCUUUUUGAGCUCCCCACAGGUGUGCAGAAACAGCAGCAGAGACUGUGGAGGGAAAGGGCCAUAGGGGCUCAGGGGCAGAGCCCCACCUUCCCAUGAGUAAGCCCCCACGGCAUUUCCAGGCUUUGCCUUAAAGCCUGAGGAGCUGCUCCUGCGCAGCAGAGACAACCCUGAGCGCUAUGCCUGCCCCGAGGCCUGCGAGGCUAACAGGCUGAUAUCUGCUAAGUGCUCUAACUUAAUGGGACCAGUACCCAGACUGGUUUCCCUUGCCCCCCCCCCCCGUCCGCUUCUGGGUGGUCCUCUCUGUAAUCCCAGCAGCAAUAGCAUCCUGGGGCAGAGGACACAAGGGAGCUCUCCUCCCCCCACAUCUGAGCAGGCCCUGUUCUUCUCCCUUCCUCUGAAACCCCCAUCUCUUGGGGGGGCUUUUGCUGCUCCUGCCAUCAGGUCCCCAGAGAGCUGUCCCCAGGAGAUGGGGAGAAGCCCCCAGAGCAGGCCCUGCUCCCAAGGCAGCCGGAGCUGUGCCAGAGGUGACGUUAUUGGCAUGGGGAGGUGGUCCUAAUCCUCAGCUGCCUGCGCUGAGCCCAGAGCCAGAAAUAGCCCCCCGGGGCUGAUCUGAGAGACAGGUGGGCCGGUGGACAGGCAAGCAAGCGGGUGCCCCAGGAGGAAGGCACCCCUUCCUCAGCCCCACACCUGUUCCUGGCUCAUCACUCCGAGGGGAAUUAGGGAGAGCAGGAGGCAGAGGAGCACCUUUGCUGCCCACGUCGUCCUGGAGCUGCCAGCAGCCUGGGACACACUCUGCCCUCAGUCGCUGAACACACAUGCAGCACCUGCUGUAAUUAGACAUUCAUUAGCAGAGAAGAUGGAACAGUUUGGAGGCGAUGACAGAGUCUAUGCCAUUUAAACAGGGAGCUGCAAAUGGAGAUGCUCCCAUGGUAGGAAAUGGGUUUCCAGUAGAGUUUGGAAGGAGUCCUUUCCAGGUCUAGCACUGACCCUGGCCUGGCCUGGGCGGAGCAAUUAACAAGUUUGCACAGCCUACAGAAUAAAUAUUCCCAAGCAGCUCUCAGCAGAGGGAGCUGGGCAGGAAAGAGCCCCGCAGCCCCACCCGGCAGGCGGCAAAAGGCACUGCAUGCAGGACCAUGUAGGAAGGGGCUGGGCUUGUCUUAGCCCUUGUGGGCCAGAAGGCCCCAUAAGGGGUGGAGGGGCAGGAGCUGCAGCAGGGUGUUCCCUGGGGGUCCAGAUUGCCAGCAGGCACACACCAGCAGUGGGACUGUUGAGGACAUGAGAAGGGUCUGCUGGAUUAGGCCAAAGGACCUAGGACACCUAGGACACACCUAGGACAGCAUCCUGUCCUCACAGUGGUCAACCAGGUGCCCGUUAUGGAAUCCCACAAGCAAGACCCGAGCACAAGAGGACUAUCUGGACUCCCCCCACCCUUGGUGGCUUCCAGCAACUGGUACUCUGAAGGCUCCUGCCUCUGACAGUGAAGGGAGAACAUGUCUCAGAGUAUUGGGGGGGGGGUGGAUUUUCCAUGCUUAGCAAGGAUAUGCUGCCACUCCUGGGCCCAGCUGUGCCUUCCUCCUUGUCUGAGCUCAGAUGGAGAGGGUGGGGCCCAGCAGGCCAUAGAGCUGCCUCCCUCCAUGCAUUGUGGAAGGGAGCCAGUGUGUUCUGCUCCACAGAGAUUUCGACAGAGGUGGCAGACUGUGUGUGUCAGUCGGCUGCCUUUUGCUUUCCUUGCUGCCUGGUGUCAUAUAAUAAGUGUAGAGUUGGAAGGGACACCCGAGGGUCAUCUAAUCCAACCACUUGUGAUCCAGGAAUCACAACUACAGCAUCCUUCGGCUACUGGUUCCUGUCUGCCUUAAUGGAGGCAGCUCCUACAAUAGCGGGAGAUUGUUAGCAAAGAAAAAACAAGGACGAUUGAGGGUAAUUAUCCUUGCAAGUUCUCCCCAGGGAUGGGGGGGGGGCAGGGGCAGAACAGCCUUCACUCACAGUUGGUCUUGAUACCUGGCUCUCACUCCGGCAUGGAAUGUGGGUUUCUUCCCUUCCCACAAGAAUUUGGAAAUCUCUCUUUGCCAUAUCUCGAGGCAGCCCGCUUCACCCAGUAUUGGAAUCAUUUGAAAUAAAAAGAUUAAUUUUGGAAGCACGUUCAUCUUUAUAAUGGAAAUCCUGCCCAGAAAUGUUAACUUUAGUUUACUCCAGGUUUCAAGGUUUUUUCUAAUCUCUAACCAAAUUUUUGUGUAGUUAUCCUGAAAUAAAUUUAUAUUUUUGGGGGUGA
Podarcis muralis (Common wall lizard) is the source of this 3869-nucleotide non-coding RNA. Lineage: Eukaryota; Metazoa; Chordata; Lepidosauria; Squamata; Lacertidae. The record is from RefSeq and is a predicted model, not a curated record.